RNAcentral lists this ribosomal RNA (373 nucleotides) under uncultured organism. Its description in RNAcentral is "partial 16S ribosomal RNA". It matches the Rfam family "Bacterial small subunit ribosomal RNA", at positions 527 to 896 of the family's 1533-position model. The record is from RNAcentral.
GUAGGUGGCAAGCGUUGUCCGGAAUUAUUGGGCGUAAAGCGCGCGCAGGCGGUCCUUUAAGUCUGAUGUGAAAGCCCACGGCUCAACCGUGGAGGGUCAUUGGAAACUGGGGGACUUGAGUACAGAAGAGGAAAGCGGAAUUCCAAGUGUAGCGGUGAAAUGCGUAGAGAUUUGGAGGAACACCAGUGGCGGAGGCGGCUUUCUGGUCUGUAACUGACGCUGAGGCGCGAAAGCGUGGGGAGCAAACAGGGAUUAGAUACCCUGGUAGUCCACGCCGUAAACGAUGAGUGCUAAGUGUUAGGGGGUUUCCCGCCCCUUAGUGCUGCAGCUAACGCAUUAAGCACUCCGCCUGGGGAGUACGGCCGCAAGGCUG